Molecule: ribosomal RNA, 189 nt
Filed under: uncultured Nitrospirota bacterium
Lineage: Bacteria; Pseudomonadati; Nitrospirota
Description: uncultured Nitrospirae bacterium partial 16S ribosomal RNA
Rfam family: Bacterial small subunit ribosomal RNA
Source: RNAcentral
ACUCCUACGGGAGGCAGCAGUGAGGUAUAUUGCGCAAUGGGCGAAAGCCUGACGCAGCGACGCCGCGUGGGGGAUGAAGGUCUUCGGAUUGUAAACCCCUUUCGGGUGGGAAGAUGGCGCUCGACAACGAGCGUGGACGGUACCACCAGAAGCAGCCACGGCUAACUUCGUGCCAGCAGCCGCGGUAAU